GACGAACCUUGCAAACGUUAUUCGGAAUCACUGGGCUUAAAGGGUGCGUAGGCGGUGCGGAAAGUUGGGUGUGAAAUCCCUCAGCUUAACUGAGGAACUGCGCUCAAAACUACCGUGCUCGAGGGAGAUAGAGGUGAGCGGAACUUAGGGUGGAGCGGUGAAAUGCGUUGAUAUCCUAAGGAACACCGGUGGCGAAAGCGGCUCACUGGAUCUCUUCUGACGCUGAGGCACGAAAGCUAGGGGAGCAAACGGG
Molecule: ribosomal RNA, 253 nt
Filed under: uncultured bacterium
Lineage: Bacteria
Also listed under: 1 other name
Description: partial 16S ribosomal RNA
Rfam family: Bacterial small subunit ribosomal RNA
Source: RNAcentral